Molecule: long non-coding RNA, 506 nt
Organism: Cornus florida
Lineage: Eukaryota; Viridiplantae; Streptophyta; Magnoliopsida; Cornales; Cornaceae
Exons: 2
Source: RefSeq, a predicted model, not a curated record
AUUAGUAUUAUGAUAAUACCUUUGGUGAGCUGUUUUGCAUGUGUCGGUGGAUUGCCUAUUUAUAUCGGUAUCAGUUUGUGAGUUUGAGAAUGAUACAAAGAAAAGAAUUAGAGAUAGAGAGAGACGUAGUGUCAAGAUUUUAUGUGCACAGACACAGUGAUGAGGCCGAGAUUGUUAGAUGACAGAGAGGGCCAAAGAUUGGUGCUCAGAUGAAUUUUUAUUUUACAUGGUACAAGAAUCAAGGUUGCGAUUCUCAUCAUGCUUGGAUGGUUGGUGGACUUGAAGAUUUUUAUUUCUUGUAAAGGUUGGCUUGAAAAGUCAUUUGUAGCCUUAUAUUUCAAAAUAUGUAUAUUUAAAUUUAAACAUGUAAUGUGUACACGAGUACACUCUUUUCAAUGUAUUUGACAUGUAUGAGAUGAGGCCGGAGGCCAAUGACUUGUAUUUUGUAUCCUUUGUACUUUUUGACUCCAUGAAAUAUUAUGAAUAUAUUGAGAAAUGUUAAGUAA